Molecule: ribosomal RNA, 483 nt
Filed under: uncultured bacterium
Lineage: Bacteria
Description: partial 16S ribosomal RNA
Rfam family: Bacterial small subunit ribosomal RNA
Source: RNAcentral
GAUGAACGCUGGCGGCGUGCCUAAUACAUGCAAGCCGAGCGAACCACUUCGGUGGUGAGCGGCGAACGGGUGAGUAACACGUAGGUGAUCUGCCCAUCAGACGGGGACAACGGUUGGAAACGAUCGCUAAUACCGGAUAGGAAGAAAGUUUAAAGGUGCUUCUGGCACCGCUGAUGGAUGAGCCUGCGGCGCAUUAGCUAGUUGGUAGGGUAAAGGCCUACCAAGGCGACGAUGCGCAGCCGACCUGAGAGGGUGAACGGCCACACUGGGACUGAGACACGGCCCAGACUCCUACGGGAGGCAGCAGUAGGGAAUCUUCGGCAAUGGGCGAAAGCCUGACCGAGCAACGCCGCGUGAAUGAUGAAGGCCUUCGGGUUGUAAAAUUCUGUUAUAAGGGAAGAACGACUUUAGUAGGAAAUGGCUAGAGUGUGACGGUACCUUAUGAGAAAGCCACGGCUAACUACGUGCCAGCAGCCGCAGUAA